GUGAGCAUAGUUUAUAUGAAUACUAGUAUGUGACACUAGAGAUGAAGACUAACUAUCUUCUGCCCACC
RNAcentral lists this transfer RNA (68 nucleotides) under Allobates aff. melanolaemusi AR-2020. RNAcentral describes it as "tRNA-His". Lineage: Eukaryota; Metazoa; Chordata; Amphibia; Anura; Aromobatidae. The record is from RNAcentral.